This 74-nucleotide transfer RNA is filed under the name Chloropicon maureeniae. RNAcentral describes it as "tRNA-Ile". It matches the Rfam family "tRNA". Rfam says of the family: Transfer RNA (tRNA) molecules are approximately 80 nucleotides in length. Their secondary structure includes four short double-helical elements and three loops (D, anti-codon, and T loops). Further hydrogen bonds mediate the characteristic L-shaped molecular structure. tRNAs have two regions of fundamental functional importance: the anti-codon, which is responsible for specific mRNA codon recognition, and the 3' end, to which the tRNAs corresponding amino acid is attached (by aminoacyl-tRNA synthetases). tRNAs cope with the degeneracy of the genetic code in two manners: having more than one tRNA (with a specific anti-codon) for a particular amino acid; and 'wobble' base-pairing, i.e. permitting non-standard base-pairing at the 3rd anti-codon position. The record is from RNAcentral. Lineage: Eukaryota; Viridiplantae; Chlorophyta; Chloropicophyceae; Chloropicales; Chloropicaceae.
GGGCUAUUAGCUCAGUUGGUUAGAGUACACCCCUGAUAAGGGUGGGGUCGGGUGUUCGAGUCUCCCAUAGCCCA